Molecule: ribosomal RNA, 774 nt
Filed under: Staphylococcus sp. 172
Lineage: Bacteria; Bacillati; Bacillota; Bacilli; Caryophanales; Staphylococcaceae
Description: bacterial SSU rRNA
Rfam family: Bacterial small subunit ribosomal RNA
Source: RNAcentral
CAGUCGAGCGACAGAUAAGGAGCUUGCUCCUUUGACGUUAGCGGCGGACGGGUGAGUAACACGUGGGUAACCUACCUAUAAGACUGGAAUAACUCCGGGAAACCGGGGCUAAUGCCGGAUAACAUUUAGAACCGCAUGGUUCUAAAGUGAAAGAUGGUUUUGCUAUCACUUAUAGAUGGACCCGCGCCGUAUUAGCUAGUUGGUAAGGUAAUGGCUUACCAAGGCAACGAUACGUAGCCGACCUGAGAGGGUGAUCGGCCACACUGGAACUGAGACACGGUCCAGACUCCUACGGGAGGCAGCAGUAGGGAAUCUUCCGCAAUGGGCGAAAGCCUGACGGAGCAACGCCGCGUGAGUGAUGAAGGGUUUCGGCUCGUAAAACUCUGUUAUUAGGGAAGAACAAACGUGUAAGUAACUGUGCACGUCUUGACGGUACCUAAUCAGAAAGCCACGGCUAACUACGUGCCAGCAGCCGCGGUAAUACGUAGGUGGCAAGCGUUAUCCGGAAUUAUUGGGCGUAAAGCGCGCGUAGGCGGUUUCUUAAGUCUGAUGUGAAAGCCCACGGCUCAACCGUGGAGGGUCAUUGGAAACUGGGAGACUUGAGUGCAGAAGAGGAAAGUGGAAUUCCAUGUGUAGCGGUGAAAUGCGCAGAGAUAUGGAGGAACACCAGUGGCGAAGGCGACUUUCUGGUCUGUAACUGACGCUGAUGUGCGAAAGCGUGGGGAUCAAACAGGAUUAGAUACCCUGGUAGUCCACGCCGUAAACGAUGAGUGC